GACGAACGCUGGCGGCGUGCUUAACACAUGCAAGUCGAGCGGUAAGGCCCUUUCGGGGGUACGACGAGCGGCGAACGGGUGGAGUAACACGUGGGUGACCUGCCCUCAGCUCUGGGAGUAAGCCCGGGAAACUGGGUCUAAUACUGGAUAUGACUCCAUGACGCAUGUUGUGGGGUGGAAAGCCUUGUGCGGCUGAGGAUGGGCCCGCGGCCUAUCAGCUUGUUGGUGGGGGNGAUGGCCUACCAAGGCGACGACGGGUAGGCCGGCCUGAGAGGGCGGACCGGCCACACUGGGACUGAGACACGGCCCAGACUCCUACGGGAGGCAGCAGUGGGGAAUCUUGCGCAAUGGGCGAAAGCCUGACGCAGCGACGCCGCGUGAGGGAUGACGGCCU
RNAcentral lists this ribosomal RNA (394 nucleotides) under uncultured bacterium. Its description in RNAcentral is "bacterial SSU rRNA". It matches the Rfam family "Bacterial small subunit ribosomal RNA", at positions 28 to 417 of the family's 1533-position model. The record is from RNAcentral.